This 200-nucleotide long non-coding RNA is filed under the name Homo sapiens (human). RNAcentral describes it as "HSALNT0006104". Lineage: Eukaryota; Metazoa; Chordata; Mammalia; Primates; Hominidae. The record is from RNAcentral.
AGGUGGAUGGGCCGAGCUCCCAGCCAACCCUGAAGGAGGCGCUGCUUCCAGGGGUUCUUAAAAAAGAAGAAAAUCAUACAACCAAAGGGGGAGGGGACAGGUAUGGCCCCCAAACCAUAGGUGGGAGCCAGCAGGUAGUGCCUGGGCCACAGCCUCUACUCUGGCUCCAGAGUCCUGCGUGUGUAAAUGUGUGUGUGUGU